This is a small nuclear RNA of Capra hircus (goat), 102 nucleotides long. NCBI's taxonomy places the organism in Eukaryota, Metazoa, Chordata, Mammalia, Artiodactyla, Bovidae. The record is from Ensembl.
GUGCUCACUGUGGCAUCACAUAUACUAAAAUUGAAACAAUAUAGAUUAGCAUAGCCCCUGUGCAAGAAUGACAUGCAAAUUUAUGAAGCAUUCCAUAUUUUU